Molecule: long non-coding RNA, 592 nt
Filed under: Homo sapiens (human)
Lineage: Eukaryota; Metazoa; Chordata; Mammalia; Primates; Hominidae
Description: long non-coding RNA NONHSAT180128.1
Source: RNAcentral
CCAGCCAGACUACAGUGCCGCCUGGGCGGAAUAUUACAGACAGCAGGCCGCUUACUACGGACAGACCCCAGGUCCUGGCGGCCCCCAGCCGCCGCCCACGCAGCAGGGACAGCAGCAGGCAAGCUCAAUGAAUCGAAUGAAUGUGAACUUCUUCAUCUGUGAAAAAUCUUUUUUUUUUCCAUUUUGUUCUGUUUGGGGGCUUCUGUUUUGUUUGGCGAGAGAGCGAUGGCUGCCGUGGGGAGUACUGGGGAGCCCUCGCGGCAAGCAGGGUGGGGGGGACUUGGGGGCAUGCCGGGCCCUCACUCUCUCGCCUGUUCUGUGUCUCACAUGCUUUUUCUUUCAAAAUUGGGAUCCUUCCAUGUUGAGCCAGCCAGAGAAGAUAGCGAGAUCUAAAUCUCUGCCAAAAAAAAAAAAAAACUUAAAAAUUAAAAACACAAAGAGCAAAGCAGAACUUAUAAAAUUAUAUAUAUAUAUAUUAAAAAGUCUCUAUUCUUCACCCCCCAGCCUUCCUGAACCUGCCUCUCUGAGGAUAAAGCAAUUCAUUUUCUCCCACCCUCGGCCCUCUUGUUUUUAAAAUAAACUUUUAAAAAGG